This is a long non-coding RNA of Anastrepha ludens (Mexican fruit fly), 412 nucleotides long. RefSeq lists it as uncharacterized. The record is from RefSeq and is a predicted model, not a curated record. Lineage: Eukaryota; Metazoa; Arthropoda; Insecta; Diptera; Tephritidae. The transcript has 2 exons.
UAAUUUUCUUUCAUUUCUCAUUUCAACACUUUCUCAGACACAGUUAAACGAAAAUAAUUCCAAACAUUUAGUUUUUAUUUUCAUGUACUCGUAAAUUGCUUCACCACCACUUGCCUUUGGGAAUCACAAAUUAGUGCCCUCCCAGCGGCAUAGAAUUCGGGAAACCACUUCUUUGGCGCAAAAUUGGCAACACCAACCGGCAGACGUGCCGCAAUGGCCAAAGAAGUGCCAAAGAAAAACAACAAUCUAUUUGGAAAUCGACAUAUUGGCCCUCUCGGCCCCUAAUACAGCCGCUUCACUCAUAAAACCAAAAACAUUUAAUUUCUUUUUUGCUAUUUUCGCCCGCUGUAUAUAAAAUUAUUUUUUGUUAUUGUUGCUCAAAAUUGAAGGCAAAUAAACAAAAGUUUGGUAA